GAUGUUUUUUAAACAAAUAUAUAUUCAAAAUUUAUAUCUAUAAAAAAAUAUAAUUUUGUAUGAAGUUUGUUGUUUAUAUAUCAAACUGGACAACUACAAUUGAACACAAUGAUUUUGUUAUGUGUUUAUCAAGAGUUUUUUUGAAAAUUUUUUAAGAUUUUUCAAGUAUUUAAAAAUAAUUUCAACAAUGCAAGAUAUUCCAAAUGAAAAAUUUUGCGAUUUUAAUGCUGCAGAAAAGGCUGCGAUGAAUAACUGCAAUACCCAUUUUUAUCCAAUUAGAGUUGAUUAAAAUUUGAAAGUUACAAUAAGAAAGUGAAGCAAGAAUCACAAAUUAAAAAUCAACCUUCAGAUUCAAUAAAUGCUUGCAGAUGGACAUGCAAACAUUUGGGCCACCAAAAACCUUAUCUUAUGAAGAAAAAUCAAGGUAAGCGCAAUAAUCAGGCAAUACUUCCAUGUGGCUGCAAAAUGUUUAUGUUUCAUAUGACAACCAACGACAAUGCUAUGGUGUUAAAAAAUUGUUUCUUGAACACAACCAUCCAUAUGGUAUAGAAGAAUUUUCUAUGUAUAGUUCACAGCGUCAACCAAAAGGAUUAUUAGAACAGCAGACAUUGAUGUUGAUUGAACAUGGGGCAAAUACAGCACUUGUGACAGAUAUCUUUAAUAGAAGCGGUUUGAAAACUAAACCUAGAGAUAUUUACAACAUAAAACAAAAGCUUAAAUUCAAAGGUUAGUUGUUUUUGUAUAAACAGUGUUGAGAAAGAUAUUAGAAUCACAUGUUUUUUGUCUAUUUUAGCAAUUGUCAUAAUAUAUAUUUUUUUAUUCAACAGAGUAAAUCUGCCUUGAGUUCCUUUUUAGUUUCAUAAAACUAUUUUAAAAAUGCUGGUGGAAAACAAUUUGAUUAUUCUUUGAGUUAGAGAAUAAUUUCAUGUAAAGUUGAUGAGUAACAUAUUGUUGUUACAAUUAUACAUAUAAUAUAUGAUCUUUUACUUCCAUUAUUAUUGUUUUUUUAUGAAGAAAAAAAACAUUGGCACUACUGAUUUUGAAAUAUUAAGUAAUGUAGCAUGUCAAACCCUUUUUUGUUUUAUUUUAUUAUUUUUUGUAUUUAAUAUAAAUUUUUAUGUACUUUUGCAGGGAAAAGGUAGAGAUCUGAGUCCAUGAAAGAAAGAGAAAGUGGAUGCUUUGUUAAAAUUGGGGAUUGUGACACAGAGGGAAAUCAGUAAAUAAUUAGGCUUAAUUCAAAAGGCACUCUAAACUGUAAAGCAGAGGCUAGAAUUAAGAGGCCCGGCUAACUUUAAAACAUUCCACAUCUGAGAGAAAAUUUUCACACAUGCCAAAAGAACAACAUUUCAAAAAAGUUUCUGUGAGCUGUUUUGUUGUCACCUCAUCCAGGCUGGCUACAUUAUUUUUUAAUGAAGUAAAACACUUCUAAAUAUAAUUGUUGCUUAUAGAGUUAUUAAAUUUAAAAUGAAUAGACAAUCAGUACAUCGUUUUAUUAUCCUUGGGCAACUGAUUAUGAUGCAAAUGACCAUUUUACUAGCUGUCUUUUUUCUUUUGGGCUAAAUUCAUGACUUUUGUCUUCUCUUUUAUUUAUAUUUGUGUUUUAGAUUGUCUUUAGUGAUAAAUCAACAUGUUAAGUCCUUGAUAACUAGUGGCAGAAUGUUCGACGUUGCUCUGAUUAGAAACACUUCCAAAUUCCUGGUAAAAACUGUGAAGCAUCCAACAUCAGUAAUGGUGUGGUCUUUAAUCUCAGUUCAUGGUGUUAAAAGGUUGUAUAUAGUGGAGGGCACAAUAAGACAGCAACGUGUACUUUAUGUUAAACUUACUUGUGUUCUGAAUUCUAAUCUGCACGUUAUUUUUUUAUUUUCAGGUGUUACUGUUAUUGAAUUAAUAUUAAACUUAUGUUAAACUAAAAUUGAACUAUUGAACUUUUCAAGUAAUAAACUGUCAACUAAACUAUAAAAUAGUAGUUCCAGUUCUGGCAAAUCCAGUUUGAGAUUCACUUCUAAGCACUAGGUUAUUGGAAAGCCAAUUUUUCAGUUAUCUACAGAAAGAUUGUAUGCUGGACAAAGACAUGUAUGCUGGAUGUAAUUUAACUGCUCCAGUUUCAUUAUUUAAGUGAAAAGAGAAGUCUUCCUGAAAGUCUUGUGAUGCAUUAAUUUGUACUUGGAUGAAAUCCAGGAUACCAAACAGCUGGUUGAUGUGUCAGAAAACUGUCAACAGAACUAUCUGGCUUUAAAGGUACACAGAACACGGCAACGCAAAAGUGACAGGAUGAAAGAAGACAAGUUUAAAAGUGAUCUUGAAGAAUUGUUUGGUAUUGCGACAUUGGAUAUGAUGACAGAAAUAUAGAACAAACAAGAUUAGUAUUUUUAAUUUUUUUCUUGCCUCAAGAUUGGAGCAGAUGUAAACACAGCAGCAGCAAAAAAAAAAAAAAGCAAGAAAAAGCAAUGAGAGGAACAAGAGAGAAAGAGAAAAAAAAAGAGAGAGACAAAAAAAAAUGAUAUAAAGAACGCUCGACCAAAUGGCAUAAACGAAACAGAAGGUGAACUUUCUUUGUUGACAUCUAAUUCAGAAUCACAAGAAGAUGAGGAGUAUCAGCCAACUCAGCCAUGUAUGCCAACAGUGUCAACAAUCAACAGAUUCAACAGCUUCUACUUCAUCACUAAAAAAGAAGUUUAAGAAUAUCUUCCAGUUACCUGAAGUUGUAGAUGAAUAUGUAAUAGAUGCAACUUGUAAUAAAAGUUUAAGAAAAUAAUUGCUUGCAAGUUAGAUACAAUGAUUGUUUGUUUCCCCUUCAUAACUGGACUUGCCAAUGUGAUAAUGCUACUGGUUAUGGAGUUCCAUGCUCUCAUGCUUUCUUUGCUAUUAGAGAAAAAAAUAUGAACUUAUCUGGUUUAGAUCUUAUUCAUAAA
Long non-coding RNA from Hydra vulgaris (swiftwater hydra), 2912 nucleotides. RefSeq lists it as uncharacterized. The record is from RefSeq and is a predicted model, not a curated record. Lineage: Eukaryota; Metazoa; Cnidaria; Hydrozoa; Anthoathecata; Hydridae.